This 441-nucleotide ribosomal RNA is filed under the name uncultured bacterium. RNAcentral's name for it is "partial 16S ribosomal RNA". It matches the Rfam family "Bacterial small subunit ribosomal RNA", at positions 338 to 795 of the family's 1533-position model. The record is from RNAcentral.
CCUACGGGGGGCAGCAGUCGGGAAUAUUGCGCAAUGGAGGAAACUCUGACGCAGUGACGCCGCGUAUAGGAAGAAGGUUUUCGGAUUGUAAACUAUUGUCGUUAGGGAAGAAAAAAAGACAGUACCUAAGGAGGAAGCUCCGGCUAACUACGUGCCAGCAGCCGCGGUAAUACGGAGGAUGCGAGCGUUAUCCGGAUUUAUUGGGUUUAAAGGGUGCGCAGGCGGUCUGUUAAGUCAGCGGUCAAAUCCCGGGGCUAAACCCCGGCCCGCCGUUGAAACUGGCAGUCUCGAGUUGGAGAGAAGUAUGCGGAAUGCGCGGUGUAGCGGUGAAAUGCAUAGAUAUCGCGCAGAACUCCGAUUGCGAAGGCAGCAUGCCGGCUCCACACUGACGCUGAGGCACGAAAGCGUGGGUAUCGAACAGGAUUAGAUACCCCAGUAGUC